AACGAACGCUGGCGGCAUGCCUAACACAUGCAAGUCGAACGAGACCUUCGGGUCUAGUGGCGCACGGGUGCGUAACGCGUGGGGACCUGCCCUUAGGUUCGGAAUAACUCCCCGAAAGGGGUGCUAAUACCGGAUAAUGUCUUCGGACCAAAGAUUUAUCGCCUUUGGAUGGGCCCGCGUUGGAUUAGCUAGUUGGUAGGGUAAAAGCCUACCAAGGCGACGAUCCAUAGCUGGUCUGAGAGGAUGAUCAGCCACACUGGGACUGAGACACGGCCCAGACUCCUACGGGAGGCAGCAGUGGGGAAUAUUGGACAAUGGGCGAAAGCCUGAUCCAACAAUGCCGCGUGAGUGAUGAAGGCCUUAGGGUUGUAAAGCUCUUUUACCCGGGAUGAUAAUGACAGUACCGGGAGAAUAAGCUCCGGCUAACUCCGUG
Molecule: ribosomal RNA, 433 nt
Filed under: uncultured bacterium
Lineage: Bacteria
Description: partial 16S ribosomal RNA
Rfam family: Bacterial small subunit ribosomal RNA
Source: RNAcentral